AAAUGGUUUAGCACAUUUAAUCAAUAACCUUUCUGAAACAUAUAAGAUGUUUCAGAAAUAAUGGCUGUCAAACUUUUCUCCUAUCAGUAAGCAUAAUAGAUGGAAUGCAAACACUGUCCUGAAGCAUAUCAGAGUUACACACAGUAACCCUACCUAUAACGCUGCUACUUUGCUACUUUGUAUUCCAUACAAGAAAGCAUAUCAAUGUUGAAAUGAGUAAAAGCAACGUUAAUUAUCGAGUCUAAGCUGCCUUUCAUUGUACUAGUCAUUACAAUGAAAUUGUACAUUGAAUUAUACUAAUUACAUUCAUAUUUAAUUUGGGGGUAGACCCGGUAGAAAUGCAAUUAGGACAAUCUACUGAGAUGGGUUCAAUACCAAGAUAAUACUGAAUCUACUGAAUUUAGAAUUACUCUAAUAAUAACAUAAACUUAAACAAGCUUAUUACCAGAUACUUUUGCCCUAGCCAUGAUGGAGCAACUGGCACCACACAGCCCUCUCACUAUAAACAACCACAAAACUAGGUAAAGUACAUAAAAUAGACGCUGGACAACAGUCAGAGAGGGCUUUAACUCCUGAAAGAAGGGAAACAAACAAGGGGUUUUACAUAUACAUACAAAAAUUUCAUCGAUGAAUUAUCUCAAACAUUUAAAGAGGAAAUAAUACUAAUCCUACACAACGCUUUUUAGAAAAUAGAAGGGAAAUGGAGGAAACAUUUACAAACUUGUUUUAUGCGACCAGAGUUACUCAUAUCAAAACCAAAAGACAUUAAAACACCCCCCCCCAAACUGCUGACCAAUAUUAUCAAGAACACAGAUAUGGGCGUUCACCUUGUGGUGCAAUGGGAUUGGAGGCAUCUUGGGAGUGUUGGGACAUAGGUUUGAUCCCCGGCCCAGAAAAGUGGGUUAAGGAUCUAGUGGUGCCACAGCUAUGGCUUAGGUUGCAACUGAGACUCGGAUCUGAUCCCUGGCCCAAGAACUUCAUAUGCCACGGGGUGGCCAAAGAAGAAAAGGAAAAAAAAAAAAGAACAUCGAUAUAAAAGUCCUUAACAAAAUUUUAGCAAAUUGAGCCCAGGAACAGAGAAAAAUAAUAAUUAUCAUGAUCAAAUGAUGUUUAUUCCAGGAACCCAAUGUUAGUUUAACAUUUGAAUACAAAUUGUUACAAUUUACAGAAUAAAAAAGAAAAAUCAUGUGAUCAUCUCUAUAGAUGUAGGAACAGCAAUGCAUGAUCCGAGCUGCAUCUGUGACCUACACCACAGCUCAUGGCAAUGCCAGAUCCUUAACCCACCAAGCAAGGCCAGGGAUCGAACCAGCAUCCUUAUGGAUACUAGUCGGAUUCGUUAACCGCUGAGCCACGUUGGGAACUCUUCCCCUAAGAUUAAGAUCAGGACAAAUAUGUCCACUUUCAUCCCUCCUAGUAGAGGUCUCCAACAGUGUAAUAAGACAAGAAAAAGAAACAAAAGGCAUAAAACUGCAAAGAAAGGAGUAAAAGUAUCUUUGCAGUGACACUAUCAUAUUUAUAGAAAAUCUUAGACAACCAAAGAAGUUCAAUAAGGAGAGAAAAUGUUUCCAUCGAAUGGUGCUAAAACAACUGGCUAUCUAUGUAGGAAAAAAAUUAAUUGCAACACAUCUCUCUCUCACACACACACAUACACACACAUACCCUAGAAAAGCCUGCUUGCUGGCUCUAGCCAAAGGAUCAAAACGGACAGCCUUGAGUCUCAGGCUCCAAUUGUCCAAUCCCCCCCCCCUUUUUUUUUUUGUAUGCUAUGAGGAAUAAGUCACCCUAUUGGCUUAAACUUCAAUGAGGUUUAACUAAGAGCCCUAAUUCAACUUAAAAAAAAAUUUUUUUUUUUUUCUGAAAGAAAAACUCUACUUUCUUAUCUCAACUUCCUAUACUUCCUGGCUUCUCACUACUUAAUUCCUCUCUUUUCUUUGUGUUGCCAUGCUUGCUUUGCUUCUUUCAGUGCCUGUAUCCUAUAUUGCAUUUCCUUAACAAUGCUUUUUGUGGAAAUCAAUUUAUUGAGCUAUAAUUUGCCUCAGUGUGCAUUCAUUUUAAAGGUAUAACCUGACAAGUUCUGAUGGAUGCAUAUACCAGUGAAACUAUAACUCCAAUCAAUAUAUAGAAUAUUUUCUCCUCAAAGAUUUUAUUUUCUCUCUUGGCAAUCCAUCUCUCAGGCCCAAGUUUUUUUUUUUUUUUUUUUUUUUUUUUUUUCCUAUUUUUNGUCUAGCUUUUUUUCACUCAGCAUAAUGGUUCUGCAUGUAUGACACAUUUAUCUGUAGUCCAUUCCUUUUUAUUGCUGAGUAGUCUUCCACUGUACAGAUAUAAGCUGCCUUUUGUUUAUCCAUCCACCAAGUGAAAGGCAUUUGGAGUGUAUCCUGUCUGGGCUAUUACUGUGAAUGAAACUGCAAUUGAUAGGGAUAGAGUUGCUACAGGUGGUUGCAGAAGUCUCAAUAGGGGAUUAUUGAUAAAGAGGGAAACCUAGGAGAUGUUGGAAGAACACUGUAAGUUUAAGAAGACCAUUAAGAAAAGGCAGGCCUGCUUANACUAGUGGAGGUGCAAGAAUCGCCUCAGGUCAUUGGGUGGGGGAUGGGAUAAGGCCUGCAUUCGGAUUCAGACCAAGGGCAAGAGUUUGAAGCUUCCUGUCAGCUGAUUUGAAUACACACCUUACCUGAUACUAAGGAGGAGCUACUACUCCCAGAAAGGAAGAGGCAGGCCUUUCCAACCCCAUGACUCUUGGAUGAUAAAACUGUGGCCCACAGCAUCCUGGGGCAGAGCUUCCUUGCCUGCCCGCUUGCAUCUCUUACAAGUAUCCUAUCCUAAUAAAUCUGUUCCUUGCCUAUCACUUUGUCUCUCGCUGAAUUCCUUCUGCACGGAGGCAUAAAGAAACUGAGCCUUGGUGAGUUCAGGUACAGGGUAACUCGAAUUUAAAAUUGUGGGUUCAAGUCCCAAUCUGUGUUCUGGCUGGGUUCAGGCCGUUAGUGCUGUCAGUUUCACAAUGACUAUUCAUGGAAAAAGAAAUGAUGACAAAGAAGUGUAUUUACGGACAGAAAAAAAAAUGUUCAUGACCAAUCACAAAUGAAAAAAAUAGGUUACAGAACAGUUUAUAUAAUACAGAUUCAAUUUUGUAAAGAAGACAUUUGCAAAUUAGUAAAUACUUAGGGGAAAAAAAAGACCAAAAUGUUAAUGAUGGUUAUCGCUGGGUGUUGUGAUUACGUGAUCUUAGUUAAAAAACAAAGUGGGCAAAAGACUGGAACAGGCACUUCAGAAAGGAGGAUAUACCAGUAAGCACAUAAAAACCCAUCCUUAGUUAUCAAGAAAAUGCAAAUGCUAAUGAAAGUCAGAGGCUCAGUGGUUAAUGAAUCUAACUAGCAUCCAUGAGGAGGAAGGUUCUAUCCUUGGCCUUGCUCAGUGGGUUAAGGAUCCGGUGUUGUCGUGAGCUGUGGUGUAGGUCACAGAUGUGGCUCAGAUCCCGAGUUGCUGUGGCUGUGGUGUAGGCUGGCAACUGCAGCUCCGAUUUGACCCCUAGCCUGGGAACCUCCAUAUGCUUACGGUGUGGCCCUAAAAAACAAAAACAAAACAAAAAAAACAAAAACAAAAAAAAAAAAAGGGAAAGAAAAGAAAGAAAGCAAGAGAACCUCACAUGUCAUGAGGGGAAUGAAAACUGUACAACCACUUCGAAAAUCGGUCUGGCAGUUUCUGGUAAAGUUAAACAUGCACCUACCCUCUGACCCAGCAAACACACGUCUAGGUAUUUGCCCAGGAGAAAUGAAAACACUGGACAUGGAAAAGACUUGUGCAUAAAUGUUCAUAGCAGUUUUCUUCCUAAAAUAGAAUGUUCCAGGAAGAAAAUCAGAUUUCAAAAUAUUUUACCUAGUUCUUUUUUCUUGUCCCAGCCUUGGCUUCAACAACUAGAAUAGCCACAAACUAGAAGCAACUCAAGUGUCCAUCAGCAGGAGAAUGAAUAAACAAAAUGGAUCCUUCCGUACAAAGGAAUACUACUCAGCCAUAAAAAAGAACAGAAAAUCACACAGAAAAUCUGAUACCCACAACACAUGGAUGGGCCUCAAUAUUGUUACACUGAAUGGAAGAAGCCAGGUACAAAGAGAUACACACCAAUUCCAUUUAUAUGAACUUCUAACAAAGGCAAAACCCAUCUAUAUCAGAAGAAAUCAGGACAGUGGUUGUCUAUGGAGGGGUAGGGUGGGCAGGGGUUGACAGAGAUAGGGCCUGAGGGAUAUUUGGGGGUGUGUGGAAGUAUUCAGUAGCAUGAUGGGGUGUGGGUUACACAGAUGUACAUGACUGCUAAAACUCAGAACUGUGUGCUGAAGAUCUGUCGUUUCACUGCAAAUGAACUAUACUUCAAUAAAAAUUGGAAAAUGUAAAAGAAACAUAAUAAAUCUUUUUGUUAAUGUAAAUUUUAGGCAUAUAAAACACUAGAAAGUAUACUUUUAUGAGUACUUCAUCAUAUCUGAGUAAUGAUUUGCUAACUUCUAUACUGGCAAUAAAUUGCUUUCAGACAUGUUUCAACUGAUCCCCACACGCUCAUGAGCCAAGAAUGACUGUGUCUUGACUUUGUAAAAAAGGCUUUCCCCCCCUUGUCAGGUCCGAGGGUUUGUGAAGUGGUAGAAUUUUCUAGCCUUCUCAAGGGUUUCAAUGACACAUAUAGAAAAAAUAUGGUCAUUUUCAAAUAUCAACAGAGCUUCAUUUUUAAGGUUUUCUUUUAAACAAGUCAAUAUUGCCUUUGGGAGGAAACAACCAAGAUUGAUUGAUUGAUUGAUUUGAAAAUAAGCUCAAUAUUUUUUCUGUUUAACCAACUGAAGAACUACAGUGGUAAUUUAUGCCAUACUUUCUCUCCAAUCAUGUUUUGGAAGAUCAAUUAAUGGAAGGAACGAGGUGGAUGGGGUUAAGACGCUGUUUUUACCAAUUGUUUUUUGGCCACGCCCAUGGCAUUUGGAGUUUCCCUGGCCAGGGACUGAACCCAUGCCACAGCAGUGUCCCAAGCUGCUGCUGUGGUGACAACACUGGGUCCUUAACCGGCUGAGCCACAAGAGAACUCCCAUCAAUUAUUUGCAAUGUGAUCUUGAAUAAAUUUCUUAAUCUUUCUGAUGCACAGUCUCCCCAUCAAUAGGCAUAAGAAUACGUACCUUAAAGUGCCAUCAUGAACAUUAAAUACUGAGAAAAUGCCUUGACAUCGGCCAGGAGCUCAGUAAAUAUUAGCACCUUCCCUGAACUUCUUAGCAGAGGACAAGAGAGAAGAACAACCUUCCUCCAUAUUUCAGAGAUAGUUAGUUUGAAAUCUGGACCUUUGGGGAAUUUAUAAAGACCAGGUGGAACAGUUUUACAGGUGGGGUGGCUAUGGGUGGAUCAGGGUAGAUAGAGGUGGGAGGGCUGGACGAUCCUUACCUUUUAUCUCCCUAGAACAUCAGAACGUUUUACAGCAGUAAUGAUGAAAAUAGUCUUUGCCAUUUCUGUUCAUCUCCAUGAAAGAGGACUUGGAAAGCCAUUUCUUGCUGUUUUUUGUUUUUUUACCGCUCACUGGGAACCGCUGAUCUGGGACUAAGCUGCUGUGUGGGAGGCCAGCUUCCCCAUGAGCUGGUGGUGGGGACACGUCAGCAGAGGCUGCUGAGUUGACUCCCAGACCCUGAGCGAUGCUCCCAGUGUGUGGCAGGGAGGGCAGGCAUAUAGAGGUCUCUCUGCC
Molecule: long non-coding RNA, 5698 nt
Filed under: Sus scrofa (pig)
Lineage: Eukaryota; Metazoa; Chordata; Mammalia; Artiodactyla; Suidae
Description: lncRNA (ENSSSCG00040005316.1)
Source: RNAcentral